Molecule: ribosomal RNA, 118 nt
Filed under: Lupinus angustifolius (narrow-leaved blue lupine)
Lineage: Eukaryota; Viridiplantae; Streptophyta; Magnoliopsida; Fabales; Fabaceae
Source: RNAcentral
AGGCGUGAUCAUACCAUCAUAAUGCACAAGAUCCAAUCAAAAAUCUGUACCUAAGUGUGCUUGGACAAAAGUAGUACUAGGAUGGGUGACCUCCUAGGAUGUCCUUGUGUUACACCUC